UGGCUGUCAGGCCCUGGAAACAUGGUCCUGGAGCCUGCCUGUGUUCCUUGGCUCGUGGCCUUGCCCUCCUCCGUCAAAGCCAGCAAGCAGUUGGUCACCAGCAUUAAAAGGUUGGGAGAUUUCAAGCGCCUCCUGAAAAGGACAUCAGUCA
Molecule: long non-coding RNA, 151 nt
Organism: Choloepus didactylus (southern two-toed sloth)
Lineage: Eukaryota; Metazoa; Chordata; Mammalia; Pilosa; Megalonychidae
Exons: 3
Source: RefSeq, a predicted model, not a curated record